RNAcentral lists this transfer RNA (65 nucleotides) under Malenka flexura. RNAcentral's name for it is "tRNA-Pro". Lineage: Eukaryota; Metazoa; Arthropoda; Insecta; Plecoptera; Nemouridae. The record is from RNAcentral.
CAGAGAAUAGUUUAAUUAAAAUAUUAGUUUUGGGGAUUAAUGAUAGGGAAAUUCCUUUUCUCUGA